This 253-nucleotide ribosomal RNA is filed under the name uncultured bacterium. RNAcentral's name for it is "partial 16S ribosomal RNA". It matches the Rfam family "Bacterial small subunit ribosomal RNA", at positions 524 to 776 of the family's 1533-position model. The record is from RNAcentral.
GACAGAGGGUGCGAACGUUGCUCGGAAUUACUGGGCGUAAAGCGCGUGUAGGUGGGUCGAUAAGUCGGGCGUGAAAUCCCUGGGCUCAACCCGGGAACUGCGCUCGAAACUGCCGAUCUUGAGUGCCGGAGAGGGUGGCGGAAUUCCUGGUGUAGAGGUGAAAUUCGUAGAUAUCAGGAGGAACACCGGUGGCGAAGGCGGCCACCUGGACGGCUACUGACACUGAGACGCGAAAGCGUGGGGAGCAAACAGG